This 62-nucleotide transfer RNA is filed under the name Gryllus lineaticeps. RNAcentral's name for it is "tRNA-Arg". Lineage: Eukaryota; Metazoa; Arthropoda; Insecta; Orthoptera; Gryllidae. The record is from RNAcentral.
AAAUAAGAAGCAAUUAUGCAUUCAGUUUCGACCUGAAAGAAAGAUUAUUUAAUCCUUAAUUA